UUCUGGCGGCCAUGUCAUGUGAACCAACAUAAAUGUCCUAGAGUCGAGAGCUCGAGUACAAAUACUUCGAUCACAAACAUAGUUUGUUAUUCUUAACUCUUAACUUCCUAUGAUAAGUUUCUUAUUCUUAAGUCUUCUUGUGGUAAAAGACUGGUUAACACUGUUGUCUUAACAGCAUGCUUGGCAACAAGAGAAUUCUAGCUCACUGCUUGAACUACAAAAAAUGACAAAGCCUAUCCUUAGUGACAUCAUGCACUUUUGGCAACUAAAAACUGGAAGAAGACGAUGAGUUAGCAUUGAAGACAGCGGGCCUCCGAAAAACAUGGCUUCACUAGCUACAGGAGUUUUUCGUAACGAAAAACGUCAAGUACUUCAGACUACAGCGUCAUUCUGUCUCGACGUUCAAGUGCUUCAGUGUAGCAGCUAUCCUAGCUCGGUACGUAGUGAGAUGUUGAGAGACAGGAGGAAACUGGAGACAAAAGACGGCAUGAAAAAUUGAUAAUAUUGCCUCUCAUCAAAAAUUCCACCGCAUUCAAGGAAAAGGAAUUUCUAUCAUAUCGUGCGAUGGCAAACAGCUACACCUCUAAGGUCAUUAUAACCGAAUCCAUUCGCAAUAAGUUGAAAAUGAGUUCUUUGUCCAUUCAUGUAGGUAUAGGAAUUUGAAAUGAAAUAUCUCUAAUCUUAGGACUAAACUGCCGUAAAUCUAUGAUCAAGCUUCAACUGCUUCAACUGCCAGCCAGUUAAGUUUUUUUACACGAUAAGUAAUAUUAUGUUUUACAUUAAGCAACUUUACAUAAUUAUGCAGUUUUUAUUCUAA
Molecule: long non-coding RNA, 817 nt
Organism: Xenia sp. Carnegie-2017
Lineage: Eukaryota; Metazoa; Cnidaria; Anthozoa; Malacalcyonacea; Xeniidae
Exons: 2
Source: RefSeq, a predicted model, not a curated record